CGUUCCCGGGCCUUGUACACACCGCCCGUCACAUCACGAAAGUGGAUUGUACUAGAAGUCCUAAGUCAAACAGGCCCAAGGUAUGAUUCAUGAUUGGGGUG
Molecule: ribosomal RNA, 101 nt
Filed under: uncultured bacterium
Lineage: Bacteria
Description: partial 16S ribosomal RNA
Rfam family: Bacterial small subunit ribosomal RNA
Source: RNAcentral